CCAUUGGUGGUUCUGUAGUAGAAUUCUCACCUUCCAUGCAGGAGACCUAGGUUCAAUUCCCAGCCAAUGCA
This 71-nucleotide transfer RNA is filed under the name Loxodonta africana (African savanna elephant). It matches the Rfam family "tRNA". Rfam says of the family: Transfer RNA (tRNA) molecules are approximately 80 nucleotides in length. Their secondary structure includes four short double-helical elements and three loops (D, anti-codon, and T loops). The record is from Rfam by way of RNAcentral. Lineage: Eukaryota; Metazoa; Chordata; Mammalia; Proboscidea; Elephantidae.